GCACAAGCGGUGGAGCAUGUGGUUAAUUCGAAGCAACGCGAAGAACCUUACCAGGUCUUGACAUCCCUGACAACCCGAGAGAUUGGGCGUUCCCCUUCGGGGGACAGGGUGACAGGUGGUGCAUGGUUGUCGUCAGCUCGUGUCGUGAGAUGUUGGGUUAAGUCCCGCAACGAGCGCAACCCUCGACCUUAGUUGCCAGCAUUCAGUUGGGCACUCUAAGGUGACUGCCGGCUAAAAGUCGGAGGAAGGUGGGGAUGACGUCAAAUCAUCAUGCCCCUUAUGACCUGGGCUACACACGUGCUACAAUGGGCGGUACAAAGGGUCGCGAACCCGCGAGGGGGAGCCAAUCCCAAAAAGCCGCUCUCAGUUCGGAUUGCAGGCUGCAACUCGCCUGCAUGAAGCCGGAAUCGCUAGUAAUCGCGGAUCAGCAUGCCGCGGUGAAUACGUUCCCGGGCCUU
This 458-nucleotide ribosomal RNA is filed under the name uncultured Anoxybacillus sp. RNAcentral's name for it is "bacterial SSU rRNA". It matches the Rfam family "Bacterial small subunit ribosomal RNA", at positions 923 to 1382 of the family's 1533-position model. Lineage: Bacteria; Bacillati; Bacillota; Bacilli; Caryophanales; Anoxybacillaceae. The record is from RNAcentral.